Molecule: ribosomal RNA, 450 nt
Filed under: uncultured bacterium
Lineage: Bacteria
Description: partial 16S ribosomal RNA
Rfam family: Bacterial small subunit ribosomal RNA
Source: RNAcentral
GUGGGGAAUAUUGGACAAUGGGCGAAAGCCUGAUCCAGCCAUGCCGCGUGUGUGAAGAAGGUCUUCGGAUUGUAAAGCACUUUAAGUUGGGAGGAAGGGCAGUAAGUUAAUACCUUGCUGUUUUGACGUUACCGACAGAAUAAGCACCGGCUAACUUCGUACCAGCAGCCGCGGUAAUACGAAGGGUGCAAGCGUUAAUCGGAAUUACUGGGCGUAAAGCGCGCGCAGGUGGUGUUGUAAGUUGGAGGUGAAAUCCCCGGGCUCAACCUGGGAACUGCCUCCAAAACUGCAUGACUAGAGGACGGUAGAGGGUAGUGGAAUUUCCUGUGUGGCGGUGAAAUGCGUAGAUAUAGGAAGGAACACCAGUGGCGAAGGCGACGACCUGGACUGAUACUGACACUGAGGUGCGAAAUCGUGCGGAGCAAACAGGAUUAGAAACCCGAGUAGUCC